UAUUAUCAAAGGCCAAGGUGGACAGUCAGCUAAUUGCCUCCAUUCAGAUGCAAAUUGCACUUUCGCCUGGCUCGACGGAGAUGGGAAAAAAAAAAACUGUGCCACUGCGGGGUGAGAAAAUUGGCGCUCGAGUUUGGACGCUCCAGGCCAGAGCGGGGAGACACAGCGAGCCGCGAGUUGACGGGGAAAUCACCGCGGCCCGCUCUGUGCGGACGCACGUUGAGCGUCGUUGGCGCCACACGUAUCGAACCGCUCUAAUGGAAGGCGCGGCCUGCCACGGCUCCCGGCACAGCAGCGCAGCCGUGCCGACCGCUCUCAGCGCCCGCCGCCGCCGCCGCCUUCACCCCCCUGGCCUCACCCGCAGCCGCCUUGGCGUGAAGCCAUCGUCCUCUCUGGCCAGAAUCAUCGGCGGCUGCCAACCCAAACGUCGUGGAUGCCCGCUGCCAGUCCGUUACCUGCUCACCCGCCACCGCUGUCCCCCGACGCGCCGGGCUGCAGCCUCGGCCCAACAAGCGAGGGCCACCCGAGCAGGAGGGAUGGGGCUUCAGAGGCACCCCGAGCCGCCACCACCACCCCCGCACAGCAGCAGCAGCAGCAGCCGCGAGUGUUCAAGCUUAAUGCACUCUGGCGUCAAGCCUGACCAUCCGUCGUGCAUUCGCAAGACGCCGAGGGAGACCAAGCAUGCAUGUCCUGCCUUCGCUCACUCGAGAUGUACUGCUUGUGGCCGCCGCCACUUGGAUGCUAAAUAAAUAAAUAAAGUACA
Petromyzon marinus (sea lamprey) is the source of this 763-nucleotide long non-coding RNA. RefSeq lists it as uncharacterized. Lineage: Eukaryota; Metazoa; Chordata; Hyperoartia; Petromyzontiformes; Petromyzontidae. The record is from RefSeq and is a predicted model, not a curated record.